GGGGAUUUAGCUCAGCAGCACAGUGCCUGCCUGACAAGCACGAGGUCCUAAUUUCAAUCCCCA
RNAcentral lists this transfer RNA (63 nucleotides) under Heterocephalus glaber (naked mole-rat). It matches the Rfam family "tRNA". Rfam says of the family: Transfer RNA (tRNA) molecules are approximately 80 nucleotides in length. Their secondary structure includes four short double-helical elements and three loops (D, anti-codon, and T loops). The record is from Rfam by way of RNAcentral. Lineage: Eukaryota; Metazoa; Chordata; Mammalia; Rodentia; Bathyergidae.